GCCUUCGUGGUGUAGUGGUCUGCGUGCUUGACGCUUAACCGAGAGGUCCGUGGUUCGAUUCCCGGCGAAGGCG
Molecule: non-coding RNA, 73 nt
Organism: Stegodyphus mimosarum
Lineage: Eukaryota; Metazoa; Arthropoda; Arachnida; Araneae; Eresidae
Source: Rfam